GCCAAAAUAGCUUAGUUGUGAGAGUGUUAGACGGAAGAUCUAAACGUCCCUAGUUUGAUCCUGGGUUUUGGCA
This 73-nucleotide transfer RNA is filed under the name Trichechus manatus latirostris (Florida manatee). RNAcentral's name for it is "tRNA-Phe (GAA) (tRNA-Phe-GAA-7-1)". It matches the Rfam family "tRNA". Rfam says of the family: Transfer RNA (tRNA) molecules are approximately 80 nucleotides in length. Their secondary structure includes four short double-helical elements and three loops (D, anti-codon, and T loops). Further hydrogen bonds mediate the characteristic L-shaped molecular structure. tRNAs have two regions of fundamental functional importance: the anti-codon, which is responsible for specific mRNA codon recognition, and the 3' end, to which the tRNAs corresponding amino acid is attached (by aminoacyl-tRNA synthetases). tRNAs cope with the degeneracy of the genetic code in two manners: having more than one tRNA (with a specific anti-codon) for a particular amino acid; and 'wobble' base-pairing, i.e. permitting non-standard base-pairing at the 3rd anti-codon position. The record is from Rfam by way of RNAcentral. Lineage: Eukaryota; Metazoa; Chordata; Mammalia; Sirenia; Trichechidae.